Pelobates cultripes (western spadefoot toad) is the source of this 567-nucleotide non-coding RNA. Lineage: Eukaryota; Metazoa; Chordata; Amphibia; Anura; Pelobatidae. The record is from the annotation of a GenBank genome assembly.
CCUAUACACCGUCCUACUUUUUUUUUCUAUCUCACAGUAAGUUAACUGGCUUUUUAAAGACCCAUAUGGAUUUAACCGUUUAAUCUGUAAACAUGACUGACCAUCACUUGUACAUUGUUAAAUGAUCAUUAGAGCCAGGAGUACCCAAAAGGUAGAUCCCCAGAUGUUUUAAAAUUACAGCUUCCAUAAAGCUUUCCAGCACAAAAAUUCUAUGACCCAAGUUUGCAGUGAAUUAUGAGAGGUCGAGGUCAUCUAUGCUUGUGUAAUCUCCUCUAUACCAGUGAUUCCCAACCCAUUCCUCAAGACAUACAACAUUCCAUGGUUUGUUUUGUCCCAAUUCCAGCCCAAUGAGGAUGCCUACAAAACCUGACCACUGGUGUGCUGUGAGGAAUGGGUUGGUGGCCUCUAUGCUUGGAUACAAUGCAAACACUAUUGUGAUAUUUAUCACUUUUUCUUACAAAGCACAUUGAGGAACAUUAGGUAUUCAAUUUGCCAGGGACUGGCAUCUAUAUCACUUUAAGUCAAUUGUGCGGACUGGCACCUUUGGAUUCUUAAGUGGAAAUGGGG